UUAAUUGAAACCAAAAAAGAGGUAAAUUAUUGUUAAUAAUUUCAAUGUAAUUAAUUACCAAUUAAU
Molecule: transfer RNA, 66 nt
Filed under: Brachymeria sp. ZJUH_2016006
Lineage: Eukaryota; Metazoa; Arthropoda; Insecta; Hymenoptera; Chalcididae
Description: tRNA-Asn
Source: RNAcentral